UACGGAGGGUGCAAGCGUUAUCCGGAUUCACUGGGUUUAAAGGGUGCGUAGGUGGGCAGGUAAGUCAGUGGUGAAAUCUCUGGGCUUAACCCAGAAACUGCCGUUGAUACUAUCUGUCUUGAAUAUAGUGGAGGUGAGCGGAAUAUGUCAUGUAGCGGUGAAAUGCUUAGAGAUGACAUAGAACACCCAUUGCGAAGGCAGCUCGCUACACUAUUAUUGACACUGAGGCACGAAAGCGUGGGGAUCAAACAGG
RNAcentral lists this ribosomal RNA (253 nucleotides) under uncultured bacterium. Its description in RNAcentral is "partial 16S ribosomal RNA". It matches the Rfam family "Bacterial small subunit ribosomal RNA", at positions 524 to 776 of the family's 1533-position model. The record is from RNAcentral.